Molecule: ribosomal RNA, 960 nt
Filed under: Arthrobacter sp. 11ALS1
Lineage: Bacteria; Bacillati; Actinomycetota; Actinomycetes; Micrococcales; Micrococcaceae
Description: bacterial SSU rRNA
Rfam family: Bacterial small subunit ribosomal RNA
Source: RNAcentral
GUCGAACGAUGACCCGGUGCUUGCACCGGUGAUUAGUGGCGAACGGGUGAGUAACACGUGAGUAACCUGCCCUUGACUCUGGGAUAAGCCUGGGAAACUGGGUCUAAUACCGGAUAUGACCUUCCAUCGCAUGGUGGUUGGUGGAAAGCUUUUGUGGUUUUGGAUGGACUCGCGGCCUAUCAGCUUGUUGGUGAGGUAAUGGCUUACCAAGGCGACGACGGGUAGCCGGCCUGAGAGGGUGACCGGCCACACUGGGACUGAGACACGGCCCAGACUCCUACGGGAGGCAGCAGUGGGGAAUAUUGCACAAUGGGCGCAAGCCUGAUGCAGCGACGCCGCGUGAGGGAUGACGGCCUUCGGGUUGUAAACCUCUUUCAGUAGGGAAGAAGCGAAAGUGACGGUACCUGCAGAAGAAGCGCCGGCUAACUACGUGCCAGCAGCCGCGGUAAUACGUAGGGCGCAAGCGUUAUCCGGAAUUAUUGGGCGUAAAGAGCUCGUAGGCGGUUUGUCGCGUCUGCCGUGAAAGUCCGGGGCUCAACUCCGGAUCUGCGGUGGGUACGGGCAGACUAGAGUGAUGUAGGGGAGACUGGAAUUCCUGGUGUAGCGGUGAAAUGCGCAGAUAUCAGGAGGAACACCGAUGGCGAAGGCAGGUCUCUGGGCAUUAACUGACGCUGAGGAGCGAAAGCAUGGGGAGCGAACAGGAUUAGAUACCCUGGUAGUCCAUGCCGUAAACGUUGGGCACUAGGUGUGGGGGACAUUCCACGUUUUCCGCGCCGUAGCUAACGCAUUAAGUGCCCCGCCUGGGGAGUACGGCCGCAAGGCUAAAACUCAAAGGAAUUGACGGGGGGCCCGCACAAGCGGCGGAGCAUGCGGAUUAAUUCGAUGCAACGCGAAGAACCUUACCAAGGCUUGACAUGGCCGGACCGCCGCAGAAAUGUGGUUUCCCCCUUUGGGGGCUGG